This 1377-nucleotide ribosomal RNA is filed under the name marine sediment metagenome. RNAcentral's name for it is "bacterial LSU rRNA". It matches the Rfam family "Bacterial large subunit ribosomal RNA", at positions 540 to 2002 of the family's 2925-position model. The record is from RNAcentral.
GAAAUAGAACCUGAAACCCUGUGCUUACAAGCACCGAGAGCCCGUCAAUGGGUGAUCGGGUACUUUUUGUAGAACGGUCCGGCGAGUAUAUGGAACAAGCAAGGUUAAGGUCUUCAGGACCGAAGCCGAAGGGAAACCAAGUCUUAAUAGGGCGCACAGUUUGUUUCAUAUGACCCGAAACCGGGUGACCUAUCCAUGUCCAGGUUGAAGUGGCGGUAAAACGCCAUGGAGGACCGAACCAACCCCCGUUGAAAAGGUGGUGGAUGAGGUGUGGAUAGCGGAGAAAUUCCAAUCGAACUCGGAUAUAGCUGGUUCUCCCCGAAAUAGCUUUAGGGCUAGCGUUGUGUUAGAUUACCGGAGGUAAAGCACUGAAUAGGCUAGGGGGCGAGAGUCUACCGACCCUUAUCAAACUCUGAAUGCCGGAUAAUUGAUGCACAGCAGUCAGACAGUGUGAGAUAAGUUUCAUUGUCAAAAGGGAAACAGCCCAGACCCACAGCUAAGGUCCCAAAUGUAUGUUAAGUGGAAAAGGAUGUCCAGUUGCACAAACAACCAGGAUGUUGGCUUAGAAGCAGCCACACAUUCAAAGAGUGCGUAACAGCUCACUGGUCGAGUGACCGGGCGCCGAAAAUGUAACGGGGCUAAACAUACAACCGAAGCUUGGGCUGCACAGCAAUGUGCGGGGUAGGGGAGCGUUGUGUGCGGGGAGAAGCACGAGCGGAAGCGCGUGUGGACUGCACAGAAGUGAGAAUGCCGGAAUGAGUAGCGCGAAUUAUGUGAGAAUCAUAAUGGCCGAAAGCCUAAGGUUUCUGGAGGAAGGUUCGUCCGCUCCAGGUUAGCCGGGAGCUAAGGUGAGGCCGAAAGGCGUAGCCGAUGCACAUACGGUGGAGAUUCCGUAGCCAUCAAAAGAUUUAAGCAGAGGGACACAGUAGAAGGGUACAUGCCGGGCGUUGGUAGCCCCGGUUGCAAGGGACCGAAAUUAGAGUAGGGAAGAUGGACUUGGAUACUGGCGAGAAAAGCUCUGUGGAUAUCUGCGAUGCCCGUACCGCAAACCGACACAGGUAGGUAGGAAGAGGAUUCUAAGGCCAACGGGAGAAGGGUUGUUAAGGAACUCGGCAAGUUGACCCCGUAACUUCGGGAGAAGGGGUGCUCUGGAAACAGAGCCGCAGAGAAUAGGUCCAGGCAACUGUUUAGCAAAAACACAGCUCUCUGCUAAAUCGAAAGAUGAUGUAUAGGGGGUGACGCCUGCCCGGUGCUGGAAGGUUAAGAGGAGGAGUGAGAGCCCCGAAUCGAAGCCCCAGUAAACGGCGGCCGUAACUAUAACGGUCCUAAGGUAGCGAAAUUCCUUGUCAGGUAAGUUCUGACCCGCACGAAAGGCGU